RNAcentral lists this long non-coding RNA (243 nucleotides) under Nicotiana benthamiana. Its description in RNAcentral is "long non-coding RNA (NBEN_LNC035181)". Lineage: Eukaryota; Viridiplantae; Streptophyta; Magnoliopsida; Solanales; Solanaceae. The record is from RNAcentral.
AAUCUUCAUCGACCGUGAGGUCUCAGAAAACACCCCUAAAACCUCGAAAACAAACUUCAUCCAAGACAACGAAGUACAUAGAAACAUAGCCGGAUCGUCGUCGAGGCUCUGAUACCAUGUAAACAUUCAUAUUAGACCGAGAAAUCAUAGAAAAUCUAGAGAGAGAAAGUAGAAAGAAGGCAGAGCAUUUUGGAAUUCUCUGGAAGAUGAGAGAAGUAUAUUAUAGAAAAUGAAAUGAAAGAA